Molecule: long non-coding RNA, 2458 nt
Filed under: Sus scrofa (pig)
Lineage: Eukaryota; Metazoa; Chordata; Mammalia; Artiodactyla; Suidae
Description: lncRNA (ENSSSCG00035037128.1)
Source: RNAcentral
UUUUUUUUUUUUUAAGUGUGUUAAAGCAUUUCAACAAAUACACAUGACCUAACCAUCUGUCUAUGUCAAAAUAAGUUAAUGCUCCAUACCAUGCUUCAACUUCUCAAUCUCCCCCAAAUGGGCCACAGUCAUCAAAGCCAAGAACAGAGAAAGUUCUUAUCUUCAUCGCUCUCUCCAUCACAUCAUGCAGGGGUCCCAACUUGCAAAGUGCUCACAUGAACUCUAUGAAUGAUGUCACGGAAGCUGGCCACACCAGUAUUUUUUGACUUAACUGAGCAAACUGCUUUUUCCCUUUCAUUGCAGGUGCCCAAUGGCAGACAAGGAAACUCACUUUUUCGGUGAUUAAGCAAAACCUCUCGAAUUCCUUACGAUACAUUUGCAAGCCUGUUCCCCUGCUCAUAGUCUCAGGCAGGCUGUAUUCUUACGUUAGAUGGGCUAAUGGGCUCAUGUCUUUCACACAUCAGGACACCAAGAUCCUUAGAGAAACUUCAUUGAACAAGGAUCACACAGGGUACAACCAUAUUACAUCCCACGAUAGGGCCUCUAGCAGUAUCUCUACUGUGAGCCCUCUCAAAGACUCACCUUCUACUCUUUUACAAGAGAAGAUUCUAGACCAACCUCAUUGAAAAAGCCCUUAGUGUCAUCCAGAACUGAAUCUGGAGCCCCAGUACUCCCUGAAUGCUCCCAAGACGGCAUCCCCAAAGUGCUUAUGUGCACCCUUGGGUAAGAUCCUGCUGAGCUGCUGGCUUCUUCCUGUCUGCAGAGGCUUCCCUUAAGAGUCUACCCCACUAGUAGGUACAGGACAUCCAAUCAGAGAGCAGGCCCCCUGAGGCACGGAGCAUGUGGCUUCUCCAUCUACAACCUAUAUUAAGAAAUUGGAUUGACAAGAGAAAAAUAGGUCUUUCUUCAUAGCAUGGCUUUCUCUCUCCUCCAUUCACAGCCUAACAUGGCCCAGAAGAUGUUUUUUAAAAAAUCAUCUGCUACCUUAAGAUAAAGAACAGCACUAGAGGAGGAGGAAUCCACCAUGCUUUUCAAAUUGGAAAAUGCUCAGCUAUCACCUGCAAAGUGCUUGUUUAAAAUGAUUUCAAAAGUCUGCCCCCCGUCGUUUGAUUCAGCAGGUCUAUAGGUAAAGCCCGGGCUAACGCUUUCAUCAAGUGCCCCAAGUGGCUGGAAGCCAGGGGUCCCAGGACCACCCCUCGAAAACCCCAGCCAGAGGGGAGAGUACAGAGAAUGAGAGAGACAGAGCUGAAUCAGGCCUCUGGAAUUCUGAAGUGGUUUUAGUUGUUUAUAGUCUAUUCCACGGCUCCCAUUGUAAAGCCUGUUCAGUUAAAAAUUCACCAAACACACCACAGACAAGGAGUCUGACAUAAAAGCCCUGAUAACACUAAUGGUGGUAAAUGGGGUUUCUUUAAAUAGGACGCCUUGUUUGUGCCUAGUUGCCUUCUUUUAAGAUUUAUCGAGGUCCAGCCACUUUGCUUUCUCUGCUUUGGAGAAGAAGGCUCAUCUUUGGUUAAUUUCAUUGAGAAUGACAUUCCCCAGUGCCAUCAAGACUUGCCCAGUUCAUCUUUAUUUUUGUUUUUACUCUUAUAAGGUUUGCUACAAUUACAAGUAUCAUAUUCAUUUUUUUAAGGUGAACCUUAUAUAAACAUGAGGUAGAAAAGUAUUAAUGAGGCACUGCUAAGAUGGAAUCAAAGCCCCCAAAAUAUGUAAAACAUACACACACACACACACACACACACACACACACACACACUAAAGGGAGGACCUCAACAGGUUAUAAAAAGUAACUUGAGGAGUUCCCGUCGUGCCCUUUUUAAUAAUGCAUUUUCGCAUGGAUCCCAGACUAUCACGUCUUCAACGGCAUUUUUUAGGGAGUGAUUUUACUUUCUAAAACAUCUCUGUCUAGUAGUUCCACGGUAAAAGCAAAUACACGCAGGAGGAUAGAAAAAAACGCUGUGGAGGAAGGCAGGAGGGGAAGAGGAGGAGAGGGGAGAAAUGAUGCCUACUCUAUGGUGAACCCUAGACACUUUUUCACUUAUUUCUCAAGUUUUGCCCUGAAAAAUAUCUCCUCACACAUGAAGUGGAACAAAAAAAUAGCGCGUUCAGGUUUAAACGAGGCAGAGGGACAGGAUGAGAGCGGGUCCAAGAGUUCAGAGGCAGAGAAGGAAGGAGGGAGGGGGCCAAGCCGACAAGGCACCCUCCACUUCUUCUCUUUGGUUCCUGGGCCUCCCCUCCAGGCCAAAGCUGUGGGAGGCCUCCAGAGCCAGAAAAGCUUACGACGACCCUCCCUCCGCCCCAUUCAGUUCUGCGCCCAAGGACCCCACCCCUCCCCAGCCCGGCCCAGCCCCACUGGGCCAGGCCCGGCAGCAGCAGCAGCUCCAGGCACCCGAAGGUCAUUGCUCGGUUUGGCACCAAACGUUCCCUCAGUGAAAACAGGCCUCCAAAGAAGAAUGAAGCA